CCGCCUCUAGCUCAAUUGGUAGAGCAGUGGCCUUUUAAGCCAUUUGUUCUGGGUUCGAGUCCCAGGGGGCGGA
This 73-nucleotide transfer RNA is filed under the name Candidatus Kaiserbacteria bacterium. RNAcentral's name for it is "tRNA-Lys". It matches the Rfam family "tRNA". Rfam says of the family: Transfer RNA (tRNA) molecules are approximately 80 nucleotides in length. The record is from RNAcentral. Lineage: Bacteria; Candidatus Kaiseribacteriota.